UACAGAGCAGCUAUGCUGUGCUGGGAGUCCACAUUGAUCCCUGGUUGCCUUGGACACUGAAGCUCGAAGACUGGAAUGGCACAGUCACCCAAACAGCAAAGUUGGGGGCCCACCCCUCCCUGAGGAGCUCUGUCCCAUGUAAGCUCAACACUGCUGCAAGUGGCUGGAAUUCUAAGCCAAAAGAAUCUCAUCCUGUGAAGCCAUAUGGAGGUGAGGCCUGCAGAUCAUCACUGUUUGGCCCUGUGAAUUCAGCCUCUUUCCUGGGGGUCCACUAAUAAAGAGUACAAGAAAGUUUACUUUCAACUGCCAAGACCAGCAAUACACAUACACUAUCCUACUGCAGGGAUAUAUCAACUCUGCAGUUCUGCAGCUCUAUAUUAUAAUUUAGUCUGCAAGAAACUUAAUCAACUUUCCCAUCCACAAGACACUGCCCUGACCCAUUCCAUGGAUGACAUUAUGCUGACUGGAUCUAGUAAACAAGAAGAAGCAACUACUCUAGAUGUAUUAGAAAUAAAUUUGUGUGUCAGAACAUAGGAAAUUUAUCUGAUAAAAAUCAGGAGCCCCCCCCCAGUGAAAUUUCUAGGGGUCCAGUGAUGGGGGCACAUUAAGAUAGUCCUUCUAAGGUGAAGGAUAACAUGUUGCAUCUGGCUCCUCCUACAGCCAAAAAGCAGGCACAAUACCCACUGCACUGUCAUUUCAGAGGCAGCAUGUUCCUCAUCUGGGUGUGCUACUCUAGCCCAUUUACUGAGUGACCUGAAAAGCUGCUAGUUUUCAGUGGGGCCCAGAACAUAAGAAGGCUCUGCAACAGGUCCAGGAUGCUGUGCAAGUUGCUCUGCCACUUGAAUAAAAUGAUCCAGUGGAUCCAACAGAGACUGAAUUGACAGAGGCAGACAGAGACCUACUUGGAGACUUUGGCAGCCUCCUGUAAGUGAAUCACAGAGAAUAAUUUUAGAUGCAUGCUAGGAGAGAAAAGGUAAUGUGGCAGGACUGGAAGCCAUGAGAAAUGCCCUGCCACCCUCUGCAGAUAACAACUCUCCCUUUGAGAAAAGCUUUCGGCUUACAACUGGGCCUUAGUAGAGACUGAAUGAGUCACUAUGGGCCACCAAAUGGCCAUGUGACCUGAGCUACCCAUCAUUAAUUGGGUGUUGUCUGACACACAAGCCAUAAUGUUGAGUGUGCACAGCAGCACUCCAUCAGCUAGAGGAACAGGUAUACAGGAGAUCAGGUUGAAGGAAGCCCUGAAGGCACAAUUAAAUGACACCAGGAAAUGUCCCACAUGCUCAUGGCUCCCAGUUCUGCUACAUUACCUUUCUCCCAUAGCCUGUACCUAAUGCAUCAUAGGAGAGUUCCUUAAAAUUAGUUGACUCAGGAAGGGAAAACUAAGAUCUGUGGAUAGAUAGUUCUUUAUAGUAUGCAGACAUCUCUUCAGGGACAUCCUGAAGAAUUGUGUUGAAGGGAGAUAUUCCCAGUAGACAGAACUUUGAGUAGUGUAGCUGGUUAUUAAUUUUGCUUCAAAAGAGAAAUGAACACAGAUGUGACUGUAUAUGGGUUUAUAGGCUAUAGCCAAUGGCUUGAUGGAUGAUCAGAGAAUUUUAAAGAACAUGAUUGGAAAAUUGUUGGCAAGAGGUUCUGGGGAUAAAGUAUGUUGAUAGACCUUUCUAAAUGUGCAAAAAAUGGGCAGAUAUCUCUUAUAUGACUAAUUCCAAAAGGUGACCUCAGCAGGGGAGGUUUUAUAAAGUGGAUAGGAUGACUCAUUGUUUGUAUACCUGUCAUCCUCUUUGCUUAGUGAACUCAUGAACAAAACGGCCAUGGUGGUACAGGUGGAGAUCAUGCGUGGGCUCAGUAACAUAGAUUUCUACUCACCAAAGCCCACCUGGCUACAACCACUGCUGGGUACGUACCAAAUCUGCCAUCAGCAGAACCUACACUGAGUCUCCAAUAUAAUGCCAUUCCUGGAGGUGAUUAGCCAGCUACUGGUGCAGGUUGAUUACAUUGAACAGUUACCAUUGUGAAAGAAGCAGGGGCUUAUUCUGCCUGGAACAGACAUUUUCUCUGGAUACAAAUUUAUUUUCCCUGCAAGUAGUGCUUCUGCCAAAACAAUAUUCGUGGACUUUAGAAUGCCAUAUCUUCCCUAUGGUAUCCUACACCGUGUUGCUUGGAAUCCAACAAUUUAUUUCACAGAAAAUUAAAUGCCACAAUGGGUCCAAACUUAAGGAAAUUCACAGGUCUUCUUGUGUUCUCCAUCAUCCUGAAGCAGCUGGUUUCAUAGAAGGGCAGUAUGGCCUUUUGAUCAUGAAGUUACAGUGUCAGCCAGGUGGCAAUAACCUGCGGGUUUUUGGCAAUGUUCUCCAGAAGUUGCAUACGCUCUAAAUCAGCAUCCAUUAUAUGGUCUCUUCAUCCCAUUGCAAAGAUGCGUGUGUCCAGAAGUUACCAAAUAGAAAUGGGAGUCACAAGAUUCACUAUUACACAUGGAGAUCCAUUUGCAAAAUAUUUGCCUUUUGUCCCCACAACCUUAUGUACUGAGGGUCUAGAGGUUUUCUAAAGGGAGGAAUGCCCCCUGAGGAGACACAGAAAUGAUUCCACUGAGCUGGAAGCUAAGACAGCCACCCAGCCCCUUCAGCUCCUCAUGCUUCUGAAUCAACAGACAAAGAAAGGAGUUACUGCACUGUCUGGGGUUAUUGGUCCUGGACCUCAGAAGGAAAUUGGUCUGCUACUACACAAUGGCAGCAAACAAGACUAUGGAAUACAGGAGAUCUUUUAGAGCAUCUCUUAGUCAUACACUGCCCUAUAAUUAAAGUAAAUAAAAACUACAACAGCCCAAGUCAGGCAGGACUACUAAUGAUUCAUAACCAGAAUGAAUGUCUGAUUUGCCCAAGCAAGAAAAGAAAUCUGGUCAGCUGAGGGACUUGCUGAAGGGUUCGUGUGUUGGCUGGACUUAGAUGAUGGCCUGAGAGUUUUACAUGGUUUAGAGAUUGAAGUGGAAGGAACCAGAUGCAAGCAGGAUGGUUAACAGCAGUCCCCAGAACUGACACAACCACACUUUUGUCAUAUUUUAUUGGCUAAUGCAGAUAUCAGAUCUGCUCGUGUUUAAGGGGGUGGAGAGACCUUACCUCUCGGUGAGGAAAUGGUGAGUCAAACUAAAGAAAACCAAGUGUGAUGGAAGAUAUUUUUGAAGCCCUCUUGGAAAAAUACAUGGAAUCCAAAACAUCCUAUCUGCCAAAAUGGAAGAACACCAUCAAGCUUUAUCCCUCAAUUUUAAGCUUUGUGACUCUAUAAUAUCCUGGGGAAGAACAGUGUCUUAGGAAGCAGAUGUGGAGUUGAAGCUCUAAAUAUAGCCCCAUCUAUAGCCACACUGUCACUUUAUUUUGAUGAAAUUUUAUGUCAUUUUUGAUAAAAUGGGGACCCACAAGUCUCUCUUCAGUGAUCUCUCCAGUAGCAGGGAUAAUAUGCUUCCCUCCUCCAUAGUUCUGCUUUACAGAUAAGGGGUCCAGGUCUGUUUCAAUUAUUUAAAACACCAGAGACUUGGAUGCAUGCAUGCCACAAAAGGUGAAAGAAUGCUCUGUCACUUCUUCUACCCUCACUCACUGCACCCUGAACAAACACUUGCUCUACCCUGACCUCUUGAAUGAGGAGGCAGAUCGCACUCCUGCCUAACCUUCAAGCUUCCAGAGCCAAACCUGCUGCCCAAACAGCAGGGUUCACUAUAAAGACUAAAUCCUACAUGAAAAGCUCUCCAUUCAGCCACCAUGGCAGAAACUGAAUCCCAUGGAAAGGCCUAGAGUCACUCUGCCUUAAGAGGUCCGUUGUCAUGUUCCUUCUGCCAAAAUGAGGCCAACAUAUUCAUGAAAAUAUGGGGUUUUGAUAAGUAAAAAUGAUUACUACAAAAAUUUAACAAAUAUGUUCUUUUUGUUACAUCAACUGUUUGUCCUCCAAGUACAAAGAAAAGAAGCUUGCACAGCAGGAGAAGUUGUUUCCUCGUGAAAGAAGCCUCUUUCCAGUUGAAAAGCUGGAACAGGGGUCGCUAGAAUGGAGCAAGACUUUCAGGUAGGACACAGCACUGGGUCUUGGGGCAGCCAGAGUUAAGGAGGGCUUACCUUCUGUGUGAUACCACGCUUUGGUUCACCUUUUUUUUUUCUUCUUAUUGCAAGAACAAAAUUUCAGAGUAUCAAGAGACAGAGUCAAGCAAAAGAGAUUUACUCUAUUUUAUUCUUUAGAAAAUGAAAUCUCAGGAUAAUAUAGACUGUUAUGGGCUAAAUUGUAUCCCCUCAAAAUUGGCAUGUUGAUGUUCUAAACCUCACUAACUCAGAAAGUGACUGCAUUUGGAGAGGUCUUUAAGGGGGUCAUUAGUAAAAUAAGGACAUAUGAGUGGGCCCUAAUUCAAUAUGACUGGUGUCCUUAUAAAAAGAGAAGAUUAGGAUACAGACAUGCAGAAGAAUGACCAUAUGAAGACACAGAGAGAACACAUCUACAAGCCAAAGAAAGAAGCCUUAGAAGAAAUCAGCACUGCCAACACCAUCACCUUUGACUUCCAGCCUCCAGAACUGUGACACAAUACAUUUCUGUUGUUUAAGUCACCCAGCGUGUGGUACUUUGUUAUGGUCACCUUAGCAAAUUAAAACAAACACAUGACCCUGUGACGUGGUAAAAGUCUCAUAAAACUGCAUACCUCAACCAUACCUUGGCUUUCUGUUGAAACUGCUCUCUGUAACCCUGAUGUGACAGGUAAGCAGCCCAAAUCCAUGCUAUCUUGGCUCCUGAGGCUUGUAAUAAAUAAAGUCUGUAAUUU
Cebus imitator (Panamanian white-faced capuchin) is the source of this 4786-nucleotide long non-coding RNA. RefSeq lists it as uncharacterized. Lineage: Eukaryota; Metazoa; Chordata; Mammalia; Primates; Cebidae. The record is from RefSeq and is a predicted model, not a curated record. The transcript is spliced from 3 exons.